CAGCCGCCGCGGUAAUACAGAGGGUGCAAGCGUUAAUCGGAAUUACUGGGCGUAAAGCGCGCGUAGGUGGUUUGUUAAGUUGGAUGUGAAAUCCCCGGGCUCAACCUGGGAACUGCAUCCAAAACUGGCAAGCUAGAGUAUGGUAGAGGGUGGUGGAAUUUCCUGUGUAGCGGUGAAAUGCGUAGAUAUAGGAAGGAACACCAACGGCGAAAGCACUCUGCUGGGCCGACACUGACACUGAGAGACGAAAGCUAGGGGAGCAAAUGGGAUUAGAGACCCGAGUAGUCCCUGUCUCUUAUAA
RNAcentral lists this ribosomal RNA (301 nucleotides) under uncultured bacterium. RNAcentral's name for it is "partial 16S ribosomal RNA". It matches the Rfam family "Bacterial small subunit ribosomal RNA", at positions 509 to 809 of the family's 1533-position model. The record is from RNAcentral.